This 969-nucleotide ribosomal RNA is filed under the name Staphylococcus aureus. RNAcentral describes it as "partial 23S ribosomal RNA". It matches the Rfam family "Bacterial large subunit ribosomal RNA", at positions 1333 to 2297 of the family's 2925-position model. Lineage: Bacteria; Bacillati; Bacillota; Bacilli; Caryophanales; Staphylococcaceae. The record is from RNAcentral.
UCCACCGAUUGACUAAGGUUUCCAGAGGAAGGCUCGUCCGCUCUGGGUUAGUCGGGUCCUAAGCUGAGGCCGACAGGCGUAGGCGAUGGAUAACAGGUUGAUAUUCCUGUACCACCUAUAAUCGUUUUAAUCGAUGGGGGGACGCAGUAGGAUAGGCGAAGCGUGCGAUUGGAUUGCACGUCUAAGCAGUAAGGCUGAGUAUUAGGCAAAUCCGGUACUCGUUAAGGCUGAGCUGUGAUGGGGAGAAGACAUUGUGUCUUCGAGUCGUUGAUUUCACACUGCCGAGAAAAGCCUCUAGAUAGAAAAUAGGUGCCCGUACCGCAAACCGACACAGGUAGUCAAGAUGAGAAUUCUAAGGUGAGCGAGCGAACUCUCGUUAAGGAACUCGGCAAAAUGACCCCGUAACUUCGGGAGAAGGGGUGCUCUUUAGGGUUAACGCCCAGAAGAGCCGCAGUGAAUAGGCCCAAGCGACUGUUUAUCAAAAACACAGGUCUCUGCUAAACCGUAAGGUGAUGUAUAGGGGCUGACGCCUGCCCGGUGCUGGAAGGUUAAGAGGAGUGGUUAGCUUCUGCGAAGCUACGAAUCGAAGCCCCAGUAAACGGCGGCCGUAACUAUAACGGUCCUAAGGUAGCGAAAUUCCUUGUCGGGUAAGUUCCGACCCGCACGAAAGGCGUAACGAUUUGGGCACUGUCUCAACGAGAGACUCGGUGAAAUCAUAGUACCUGUGAAGAUGCAGGUUACCCGCGACAGGACGGAAAGACCCCGUGGAGCUUUACUGUAGCCUGAUAUUGAAAUUCGGCACAGCUUGUACAGGAUAGGUAGGAGCCUUUGAAACGUGAGCGCUAGCUUACGUGGAGGCGCUGGUGGGAUACUACCCUAGCUGUGUUGGCUUUCUAACCCGCACCACUUAUCGUGGUGGGAGACAGUGUCAGGCGGGCAGUUUGACUGGGGCGGUCGCCUCCUAAAAGG